GGAGGAAGGUGGGGACGACGUCAAGUCAUCAUGGCCCUUACGAGUAGGGCUACACACGUGCUACAAUGGCGCAUACAGAGGGCGGCCAACUUGCGAGAGUGAGCGAAUCCCAAAAAGUGCGUCGUAGUCCGGAUUGGAGUCUGCAACUCGACUCCAUGAAGUCGGAAUCGCUAGUAAUCGUAGAUCAGAAUGCUACGGUGAAUACGUUCCCGGGCCUUGUACACACCGCCCGU
This 233-nucleotide ribosomal RNA is filed under the name Vibrio sp. RNAcentral describes it as "partial 16S ribosomal RNA". It matches the Rfam family "Bacterial small subunit ribosomal RNA", at positions 1165 to 1397 of the family's 1533-position model. The record is from RNAcentral. Lineage: Bacteria; Pseudomonadati; Pseudomonadota; Gammaproteobacteria; Vibrionales; Vibrionaceae.